RNAcentral lists this ribosomal RNA (254 nucleotides) under uncultured bacterium. RNAcentral's name for it is "partial 16S ribosomal RNA". It matches the Rfam family "Bacterial small subunit ribosomal RNA", at positions 524 to 776 of the family's 1533-position model. The record is from RNAcentral.
UACGAAGGGGGCUAGCGUUGCUCGGAAUCACUGGGCGUAAAGGGCUCGUAGGCGGUCAACUAAGUCGGAUGUGAAAUCCCCAGGCUUAACCUGGGAACUGCAUCCGAUACUGGAUGGCUUGAAUCCGGGAGAGGGAUGCAGAAUUCCAGGUGUAGCGGUGAAAUGCGUAGAUAUCUGGAGGAAUACCGGUGGCGAAGGCGGCAUCCUGGACCGGCAUUGACGCUGAGUGAGCGAAAGCCAGGGGAGCAAACGGG